RNAcentral lists this ribosomal RNA (497 nucleotides) under uncultured bacterium. Its description in RNAcentral is "partial 16S ribosomal RNA". It matches the Rfam family "Bacterial small subunit ribosomal RNA", at positions 28 to 507 of the family's 1533-position model. The record is from RNAcentral.
GACGAACGCUGGCGGCGUGCCUAAUACAUGCAAGUUGAGCGCUGAAGGUUGGUACUUGUACCAACUGGAUGAGCAGCGAACGGGUGAGUAACGCGUGGGGAAUCUGCCUUUGAGCGGGGGACAACAUUUGGAAACGAAUGCUAAUACCGCAUAAAAACUUUAAACACAAGUUUUAAGUUUGAAAGAUGCAAUUGCAUCACUCAAAGAUGAUCCCGCGUUGUAUUAGCUAGUUGGUGAGGUAAAGGCCCACCAAGGCGAAGAUACAUAGCCGACCUGAGGGGGUGGUCGGGCAACAUGGGAAUGGAAACCGGCCCCAGCUCCUACGGGAGGCAGCAGUAGGGAAUCUUCGGCAAUGGGCGAAAGUCUUACCGCGCAACGCCGGGGGGGUGAAGAAGGUUUUCGGAUUGUAAAACCCUGUUGAUUGGGGAGAACGUGGGGGAGAGUGAAAAGUUCAUCAAGUGACGGUACCUACCCAGAAAGGGACGGCUAACUACGUG